RNAcentral lists this ribosomal RNA (388 nucleotides) under uncultured bacterium. RNAcentral's name for it is "bacterial SSU rRNA". It matches the Rfam family "Bacterial small subunit ribosomal RNA", at positions 29 to 416 of the family's 1533-position model. The record is from RNAcentral.
AUUAAACGCUGGCGGCAUGCCUUACACAUGCAAGUCGAACGGCAGCACGGGGGCAACCCUGGUGGCGAGUGGCGAACGGGUGAGUAAAGCAUCGGAACGUGCCCUGGAGUGGGGGAGUAACGUAGCGAAAGUUACGCUAAUACCGCAUAUUCUUGUGAGCAGGAAAGCAGGGGAUCGCAAGACCUUGCGCUCUGGGAGCGCCGAUGUCGGAUUAGCUAGUUGGUGGGGUAAAGGCCUACCAAGGCGACGAUCCGUAGCGGGUCUGAGAGGAUGAUCCGCCACACUGGGACUGAGACACGGCCCAGACUCCUACGGGAGGCAGCAGUGGGGAAUAUUGGGACAAUGGGCGCAAGCCUGAUCCAGCCAUGCCGCGUGGGUGAAGAAGGCC